CCUACGGGAGGCAGCAGUAGGGAAUAUUCCGCAAUGGGCGAAAGCUUGAUGCAGCGACGCAGCGUGCGGGAUGAAGGUCUUCGGAUCGUAAAGUGCUGUUAUAAGGGAAGAACAUUUGCUAUAGGAAAUGAUUGCAGACUGACGGUACCUUGUCAGAAAGCACUGGCUAACUAUGUGCCAGCAGCCGCGGUAAUACAUAGGUCGCACGGGUUAUCCGGAAUUAUUGGGCGAAAAGCGUUCGUAGGCGGUUUGUCAAGUCAGGGGGUAAAUCCCGGGUCUAAACCGGGGCGCGCUUUUGAUACUAGCAAACUAGAGUGAGAGAGAGGGUAGUGGAAUUCCAGGUGAAGGGGUGAAAUGCGUAGAUAUAUGGAAGAACACCAGAGGCGAAGGCGACUAACUGGGACUAUACUGACGCUGAGGGGCGAAAGCGUGGGGAGCAAACAGGAUUAGAUACCCGGGUAGUC
RNAcentral lists this ribosomal RNA (464 nucleotides) under uncultured bacterium. RNAcentral's name for it is "partial 16S ribosomal RNA". It matches the Rfam family "Bacterial small subunit ribosomal RNA", at positions 338 to 795 of the family's 1533-position model. The record is from RNAcentral.